This 72-nucleotide transfer RNA is filed under the name Ornithorhynchus anatinus (platypus). It matches the Rfam family "tRNA". Rfam says of the family: Transfer RNA (tRNA) molecules are approximately 80 nucleotides in length. Their secondary structure includes four short double-helical elements and three loops (D, anti-codon, and T loops). Lineage: Eukaryota; Metazoa; Chordata; Mammalia; Monotremata; Ornithorhynchidae. The record is from Rfam by way of RNAcentral.
AGCAGCGUGGCUCAGUGGAAAGAGCCCGGGCUUGGGAGUCAGAGGACCUGGGUUCGAAUCCCAGCUCAGCCA